AUUGAACGCUGGCGGCAUGCUUUACACAUGCAAGUCGAACGGCAGCGCGGGGGCAACCCUGGCGGCGAGUGGCGAACGGGUGAGUAAUGUAUCGGAACGUAUCCUGUAAUGGGGGAUAACCAGUCGAAAGAUUGGGUAAUACCGCAUACGCACGAGAGUGGAAAGUAGGGGAUCGCAAGACCUUACGUUAUAGGAGCGGCCGAUAUCUGAUUAGCUAGUUGGUGGGGUAAAGGCCUACCAGGGCGACGAUCAGUAGCUGGUCUGAGAGGAUGAUCAGCCACACUGGGACUGAGACACGGCCCAGACUCCUACGGGAGGCAGCAGUGGGGAAUUUUGGACAAUGGGCGAAAGCCUGAUCCAGCCAUGCCGCGUGCGGGAAGAAGGCCU
Molecule: ribosomal RNA, 387 nt
Filed under: uncultured bacterium
Lineage: Bacteria
Description: bacterial SSU rRNA
Rfam family: Bacterial small subunit ribosomal RNA
Source: RNAcentral